AGUGAACGCUGGCGGUAGGCCUAACACAUGCAAGUCGAACGGCAGCACAGUAAGAGCUUGCUCUUACGGGUGGCGAGUGGCGGACGGGUGAGGAAUACAUCGGAAUCUACUUUUUCGUGGGGGAGAACGUAGGGAAACUUACGCUAAUACCGCAUACGACCUACGGGUGAAAGCAGGGGAUCUUCGGACCUUGCGCGAUUGAAUGAGCCGAUGUCGGAUUAGCUAGUUGGCGGGGUAAAGGCCCACCAAGGCGACGAUCCGUAGCUGGUCUGAGAGGAUGAUCAGCCACACUGGAACUGAGAGACGGUCCAGACUCCUACGGGAGGCAGCAGUGGGGAAUAUUGGACAAUGGGCGCAAGCCUGAUCCAGCCAUACCGCGUGGGUGAAGAAGGCCUUCGGGUUGUAAAGCCCUUUUGUUGGGAAAGAAAAGCAGCAGGUUAAUACCCCGCUGUUCUGACGGUACCCAAAGAAUAAGCACCGGCUAACUUCGUG
Molecule: ribosomal RNA, 492 nt
Filed under: uncultured bacterium
Lineage: Bacteria
Description: partial 16S ribosomal RNA
Rfam family: Bacterial small subunit ribosomal RNA
Source: RNAcentral